CCGGAAUUUUAUUUAAAUUUUAUUUUUAUACAUUUUCGAAGCUUUAGUGCAUUUAUUUUAUUUCUUUUUUUUGGGGGGUUAUAUAUGCAUUAGAAUAGAAACAACUGUCAUGCAAUUGUUUUAUAAUCUCAACUUGCUGAAAAUCCCAAUAUCCCUGCAAGAAUGUGUAUCGCGCAUGAACAGACUAUAAAAGUAGUUUCGGAAACAUGGUUUAUCGAAGUGUAAACCAAGAGAUAAAUUCUUCUUGGCCAAUCCAAUUCAAGUAUUUAUAGAUAUGCAAAUGAUAUAAGAAUUAU
RNAcentral lists this long non-coding RNA (296 nucleotides) under Mytilus galloprovincialis (Mediterranean mussel). Lineage: Eukaryota; Metazoa; Mollusca; Bivalvia; Mytilida; Mytilidae. The record is from RNAcentral.